AGAGUCGAGAGUGGGAGAAGAGCGGAGCGUGUGAGCAGUACUGCGGCCUCCUCUCGUCUCCGAACCUCGCUCUCACGGCCUACUUUUACCCGCCCGCCUGCUCGGCGCCCAGAACACCUUCCACCAUGACCACCUCAGCAAGUUCCCACUUAAAUAAAGGCAUCAAGCAGGUGUACAUGUCCCUGCCUCAGGGUGAGAAAGUCCAGGCCAUGUAUAUCUGGAUUGAUGGUACUGGAGAAGGACUGCGCUGCAAGACCCGGACCCUGGACAGUGAGCCCAAGUGUGUGGAAGAGUUGCCUGAGUGGAAUUUCGAUGGCUCUAGUACUUUGCAGUCUGAGGGUUCCAACAGUGACAUGUAUCUCGUGCCUGCUGCCAUGUUUCGGGACCCCUUCCGUAAGGACCCUAACAAGCUGGUGUUAUGUGAAGUUUUCAAGUACAAUCGAAGACCUGCAGAGACCAAUUUGAGGCACACCUGUAAACGAAUAAUGGACAUGGUCCAUAUUACUGUGGUGUGGGAGCAGACAGAGCCUAUGGCAGGGACAUCGUGGAGGCCCAUUACCGGGCCUGCUUGUAUGCUGGAGUCAAGAUUGCGGGGACUAAUGCCGAGGUCAUGCCUGCCCAGGUAAAUGUAGCUCCAAUCCAUCAAUGAAGAAGGGUAAGUGGGUACACAUAGGACUUUUGCU
This 683-nucleotide small RNA is filed under the name Pongo abelii (Sumatran orangutan). Its description in RNAcentral is "processed transcript". The record is from RNAcentral. Lineage: Eukaryota; Metazoa; Chordata; Mammalia; Primates; Hominidae.